AACCAGACUCCUACGGGAGGCAGCAGUGGGGGAUAUUGCACAAUGGGGGAAACCCUGAUGCAGCGACGCCGCGUGAGUGAAGAAGUAUUUCGGUAUGUAAAGCUCUAUCAGCAGGGAAGAAAAUGACAGUACCUGACCAAGAAGCCCCGGCUAACUACGUGCCAGCAGCCGCGGUAAUACGUAGGGGGCAAGCGUUAUCCGGAUUUACUGGGUGUAAAGGGGGCGCAGACGGCGAUGCAAGCCAGGAGUGAAAGCCCGGGGCCCAACCCCGGGACUGCUCUUGGAACUGCGUGGCUGGAGUGCAGGAGGGGCAGGCGGAAUUCCUGGUGUAGCGGUGAAAUGCGUAGAUAUCAGGAGGAACACCGGUGGCGAAGGCGGCCUGCUGGACUGCAACUGACGUUGAGGCCCGAAAGCGUGGGGAGCAAACAGGAUUAGAUACCCCGGUA
RNAcentral lists this ribosomal RNA (446 nucleotides) under uncultured bacterium. RNAcentral's name for it is "bacterial SSU rRNA". It matches the Rfam family "Bacterial small subunit ribosomal RNA", at positions 329 to 792 of the family's 1533-position model. The record is from RNAcentral.